This 30-nucleotide non-coding RNA is filed under the name Homo sapiens (human). Lineage: Eukaryota; Metazoa; Chordata; Mammalia; Primates; Hominidae. The record is from RNAcentral.
UGCCAUUUCCAACAGCCUGGAUGAACCUGC